GGCCGUCGUGCGCACGCGAAAAUCCGACCUUGCGCGCCAUUACUGGCCCAUCCAUCCAGCCGUUCCCAUUCAGUCAUUCUAUUCUCCGGUUCCAAAAUUCCCCAGCUGACAGCCCUUGCAGCUCGCACCCUACCUGCUCGGCGCCGACGGCGCCCAGCGUGCCUCUGCAGAUGUUGCUGGCACCUCUGCUCCAUGCUAGGGUGCUUCCAAGUUCCUCUCCCGGUGGCCACAACGGUGGGCCGCGGCUCCACUCCUGCAACAACCCUCCCAUUCCUGCUGCGACGGUCAAGAGCACAGCGCCAAUUUGAUUCGAGAUCGAGGCCAAACCUGCUUGAAGGCCUAUCGAGCAUUGGUGGCCCCUCCUCCCGCUUCCCCUUCAGAUCUGCUGCUCAACCAGUAAAGAUUCAAGCUGAUCAAUAACCAUGGUUUCAAGAAGGGCAAUGUCAUCGAGAAAUAAGCAGGUGUCUGAAUUGCAGUGGAGUUGAGUGAUAAGAAAGUGAAUUUCUGAGAGCUUGUAAUUUUUUUCUUGCAGGCCACAAGUGCGCCAUCUGUAAAUGGAAGAGAACCGGAUGCUAGUGAUAGGGAGACAGAGCCUGAUCUAGAGGCUACUUGUGCAACUGGUGAUGGAAUUGAGAAGGUGUCGUCAGCAGGAAGAAGUCCGGUUACCAAAAUAAAGGGUCCAAAGAAGAAAAAUUUACCUGUUUGGAAACAUUUCACUGGAGUGCUUAUAUGAAGAAAAGGUGGAUGACAUGGUUGUCAUGAAGAGGAUGGUAGAAUGCAACUAUUGUGACGAGGUUUUUUGUGCCGCAAAUUGUAGUGGUAUAUCGUCCAUUCUUGAUGAUUUGGCUGGUCUUAGUAUGAAUGAUAAUGCCGAACAUGAUGAUGUUGCUCCUGCUGCUGAUGGUGACAAUAUUAUGGAUCUGGAAGAGGAAGAAAAUUAGGACUACUUCUGCUUCAGGGACCUCUGUAUCCACCUGUUGCUCUGUUAGGGACGUACUCAAGUACUCUAUGUCACAUAUUGUGAGAGGGCAGACUGCUGCUAUGCUGUCUACCAUUGUUCAUAUUUAUUUCACUUGAUCUGGC
Long non-coding RNA from Panicum hallii, 1083 nucleotides. RefSeq lists it as uncharacterized. The record is from RefSeq and is a predicted model, not a curated record. Lineage: Eukaryota; Viridiplantae; Streptophyta; Magnoliopsida; Poales; Poaceae. The transcript has 5 exons.